CAGUAGGGAAUCUUCCGCAAUGGACGAAAGUCUGACGGAGCAACGCCGCGUGAGUGAUGAAGGUUUUCGGAUCGUAAAACUCUGUUGUUAGGGAAGAACAAGUCGGGUAGUAACUGACCCGGCCUUGACGGUACCUAACCAGAAAGCCCCGGCUAACUACGUGCCAGCAGCCGCGGUAAUACGUAGGGGGCAAGCGUUGUCCGGAAUUAUUGGGCGUAAAGCGCUCGCAGGCGGUCCUUUAAGUCUGAUGUGAAAUCUCGCGGCUCAACCGCGAACGGUCAUUGGAAACUGGAGGACUUGAGUACAGAAGAGGAGAGUGGAAUUCCACGUGUAGCGGUGAAAUGCGUAGAGAUGUGGAGGAACACCAGUGGCGAAGGCGACUCUCUGGUCUGUAACUGACGCUGAGGAGCGAAAGCGUGGGGAGCGAACAGGAUUAGAUACCCUGGUAGUCCACGCCGUAAACGAUGAGUGCUAGGUGUUAGGGGGUUUCCGCCCCUUAGUGCUGAAGUUAACGCAUUAAGCACUCCGCCUGGGGAGUACGGCCGCAAGGCUGAAACUCAAAAGAAUUGACGGGGGCCCGCACAAGCGGUGGAGCAUGUGGUUUAAUUCGAAGCAACGCGAAGAACCUUACCAGGUCUUGACAUCCUCUGCUAUUCCUAGAGAUAGGAAGUUCCCUUCGGGGACAGAGUGACAGGUGGUGCAUGGUUGUCGUCAGCUCGUGUCGUGAGAUGUUGGGUUAAGUCCCGCAACGAGCGCAACCCUUGAUCUUAGUUGCCAGCAUUAAGUUGGGCACUCUAAGGUGACUGCCGGUGACAAACCGGAGGAAGGUGGGGAUGACGUCAAAUCAUCAUGCCCCUUAUGACCUGGGCUACACACGUGCUACAAUGGAUGGAACAAAGGGAAGCGAAACCGCGAGGUCAAGCAAAUCCCAUAAAACCAUUCUCAGUUCGGAUUGCAGGCUGCAACUCGCCUGCAUGAAGCCGGAAUCGCUAGUAAUCGCGGAUCAGCAU
This 1010-nucleotide ribosomal RNA is filed under the name Oceanobacillus sp. RNAcentral describes it as "bacterial SSU rRNA". It matches the Rfam family "Bacterial small subunit ribosomal RNA", at positions 352 to 1355 of the family's 1533-position model. Lineage: Bacteria; Bacillati; Bacillota; Bacilli; Caryophanales; Bacillaceae. The record is from RNAcentral.